CAUGCAGUCGAGCGGAUGAAAGGAGCUUGCUCCUGGAUUCAGCGGCGGACGGGUGAGUAAUGCCUAGGAAUCUGCCUGGUAGUGGGGGACAACGUUUCGAAAGGAACGCUAAUACCGCAUACGUCCUACGGGAGAAAGCAGGGGACCUUCGGGCCUUGCGCUAUCAGAUGAGCCUAGGUCGGAUUAGCUAGUUGGUGAGGUAAUGGCUCACCAAGGCGACGAUCCGUAACUGGUCUGAGAGGAUGAUCAGUCACACUGGAACUGAGACACGGUCCAGACUCCUACGGGAGGCAGCAGUGGGGAAUAUUGGACAAUGGGCGAAAGCCUGAUCCAGCCAUGCCGCGUGUGUGAAGAAGGUCUUCGGAUUGUAAAGCACUUUAAGUUGGGAGGAAGGGUUGUAGAUUAAUACUCUGCAAUUUUGACGUUACCGACAGAAUAAGCACCGGCUAACUCUGUGCCAGCAGCCGCGGUAAUACAGAGGGUGCAAGCGUUAAUCGGAAUUACUGGGCGUAAAGCGCGCGUAGGUGGUUUGUUAAGUUGGAUGUGAAAUCCCCGGGCUCAACCUGGGAACUGCAUCCAAAACUGGCAAGCUAGAGUAUGGUAGAGGGUGGUGGAAUUUCCUGUGUAGCGGUGAAAUNGCGUA
This 643-nucleotide ribosomal RNA is filed under the name Pseudomonas sp. MR-CH-I5. Its description in RNAcentral is "bacterial SSU rRNA". It matches the Rfam family "Bacterial small subunit ribosomal RNA", at positions 54 to 692 of the family's 1533-position model. The record is from RNAcentral. Lineage: Bacteria; Pseudomonadati; Pseudomonadota; Gammaproteobacteria; Pseudomonadales; Pseudomonadaceae.